RNAcentral lists this long non-coding RNA (440 nucleotides) under Lathyrus oleraceus (garden pea). Its description in RNAcentral is "Pisum sativum (pea) long non-coding RNA (PSAT_LNC032706)". The record is from RNAcentral. Lineage: Eukaryota; Viridiplantae; Streptophyta; Magnoliopsida; Fabales; Fabaceae.
AAGAGUCAUGGUGGUAAUGCCAAAGGGUAUACUACUUCACUGAUCCUUCCAAUAAUCUGAUAUGGUCCAAUAUACCUUGGACUUAAUUUUCGCGACUUAAAAUUUCCUUUCAAUCUCAAUCUCGGAGUAACCUUCAAGAAUACAUGACCACCUUCUCCAAACUCCAAUGGUCUCCAUCUAUGGUUUGCAUAACUCUUUUGAUGAUCUUGAGCCUUUUUUAUAUUUUCUUAUAUCAUCUUGAUCUUUUCUAUGGUCUUUUGAAUAAUCUCCAGUCAUAUAAUCCACUUCUCACUAACUUCCAUCCAACAAAGAUGGCUUCGACAUCUCCUUCCUUAAAGAGCUUCAUAUGGAGUCAUUCUAAUACUAGAAUAAUAAUUGUUAUUGUAUGCAAACCCAAUCAAGGGUAUGAGGUCUUUCCAAUUUUUUCCACUUUCAAGCAC